This 253-nucleotide ribosomal RNA is filed under the name uncultured bacterium. RNAcentral describes it as "partial 16S ribosomal RNA". It matches the Rfam family "Bacterial small subunit ribosomal RNA", at positions 524 to 776 of the family's 1533-position model. The record is from RNAcentral.
UACGGAGGGAGCUAGCGUUGUUCGGAAUUACUGGGCGUAAAGCGUACGUAGGCGGCUUUUUAAGUUAGAGGUGAAAGCCUGGAGCUCAACUCCAGAAUUGCCUUUAAGACUGAAGAGCUCGAGUCCGGGAGAGGUGAGUGGAAUUCCGAGUGUAGAGGUGAAAUUCGUAGAUAUUCGGAAGAACACCAGUGGCGAAGGCGGCUCACUGGACCGGUACUGACGCUGAGGUACGAAAGCGUGGGGAGCAAACAGG